Molecule: ribosomal RNA, 1440 nt
Filed under: uncultured organism
Description: SSU rRNA
Rfam family: Bacterial small subunit ribosomal RNA
Source: RNAcentral
UGCUACGGGCUUAACACAUGCAAGUCGAGGGGCAGCAUGGUCUUAGCUUGCUAAGACUGAUGGCGACCGGCGCACGGGUGAGUAACACGUAUCCAACCUGCCGUCUACUCUUGGACAGCCUUCUGAAAGGAAGAUUAAUACAAGAUGGCAUCAUGAGUCCGCAUGUUCACAUGAUUAAAGGUAUUCCGGUAGACGAUGGGGAUGCGUUCCAUUAGAUAGUAGGCGGGGUAACGGCCCACCUAGUCUUCGAUGGAUAGGGGUUCUGAGAGGAAGGUCCCCCACAUUGGAACUGAGACACGGUCCAAACUCCUACGGGAGGCAGCAGUGAGGAAUAUUGGUCAAUGGGCGAGAGCCUGAACCAGCCAAGUAGCGUGAAGGAUGACUGCCCUAUGGGUUGUAAACUUCUUUUAUAAAGGAAUAAAGUCGGGUAUGCAUACCCGUUUGCAUGUACUUUAUGAAUAAGGAUCGGCUAACUCCGUGCCAGCAGCCGCGGUAAUACGGAGGAUCCGAGCGUUAUCCGGAUUUAUUGGGUUUAAAGGGAGCGUAGAUGGAUGUUUAAGUCAGUUGUGAAAGUUUGCGGCUCAACCGUAAAAUUGCAGUUGAUACUGGAUAUCUUGAGUGCAGUUGAGGCAGGCGGAAUUCGUGGUGUAGCGGUGAAAUGCUUAGAUAUCACGAAGAACUCCGAUUGCGAAGGCAGCCUGCUAAGCUGCAACUGACAUUGAGGCUCGAAAGUGUGGGUAUCAAACAGGAUUAGAUACCCUGGUAGUCCACACGGUAAACGAUGAAUACUCGCUGUUUGCGAUAUACAGCAAGCGGCCAAGCGAAAGCGUUAAGUAUUCCACCUGGGGAGUACGCCGGCAACGGUGAAACUCAAAGGAAUUGACGGGGGCCCGCACAAGCGGAGGAACAUGUGGUUUAAUUCGAUGAUACGCGAGGAACCUUACCCGGGCUUAAAUUGCAGAUGAAUUACGGUGAAAGCCGUAAGCCGCAAGGCAUCUGUGAAGGUGCUGCAUGGUUGUCGUCAGCUCGUGCCGUGAGGUGUCGGCUUAAGUGCCAUAACGAGCGCAACCCUUGUUGUCAGUUACUAACAGGUUCCGCUGAGGACUCUGACAAGACUGCCAUCGUAAGAUGUGAGGAAGGUGGGGAUGACGUCAAAUCAGCACGGCCCUUACGUCCGGGGCUACACACGUGUUACAAUGGGGGGUACAGAGGGCCGCUACCACGCGAGUGGAUGCCAAUCCCCAAAACCUCUCUCAGUUCGGACUGGAGUCUGCAACCCGACUCCACGAAGCUGGAUUCGCUAGUAAUCGCGCAUCAGCCACGGCGCGGUGAAUACGUUCCCGGGCCUUGUACACACCGCCCGUCAAGCCAUGGGAGCCGGGGGUACCUGAAGUGCGUAACCGCGAGGAGCGCCCUAGGGUAAAACUGGUGACUGGGGCU